UUGAACGCUGGCGGAAUGCUUUACACAUGCAAGUCGAACGGCAGCACGGGGGCAGCCCUGGUGGCGAGUGGCGAACGGGUGAGUAAUACAUCGGAACGUGCCCGGUCGUGGGGGAUAACGUAGCGAAAGUUACGCUAAUACCGCAUACGAUCUGAGGAUGAAAGCGGGGGACCUUCGGGCCUCGCGCGAUCGGAGCGGCCGAUGUCAGAUUAGGUAGUUGGUGGGGUAAAGGCCUACCAAGCCGACGAUCUGUAGCUGGUCUGAGAGGACGACCAGCCACACUGGGACUGAGACACGGCCCAGACUCCUACGGGAGGCAGCAGUGGGGAAUUUUGGACAAUGGGCGCAAGCCUGAUCCAGCCAUUCCGCGUGCAGGACGAAGGCCUUCGGGUUGUAAACUGCUUUUGUACGGAACGAAAAGGCUCUGGCUAAUACCUGGGGCUCAUGACGGUACCGGAAGAAUAAGCACCGGCUAACUACGUG
This 483-nucleotide ribosomal RNA is filed under the name uncultured bacterium. Its description in RNAcentral is "partial 16S ribosomal RNA". It matches the Rfam family "Bacterial small subunit ribosomal RNA", at positions 29 to 507 of the family's 1533-position model. The record is from RNAcentral.